UACGAAGGGGGCGAGCGUUAUUCGGAAUCACUGGGCGUAAAGCGUGCGUAGGCUGUUUUGUAAGUUGGAAGUGAAAGCCCUGGGCUUAACCCUGGAAUUGCUUUCAAAACUACGAGACUCGGAUUCGGGAGAGGAUAGCGGAAUUGUCAGUGUAGCAGUGAAAUGCGUAGAUAUUGACAGGAACACCAGUGGCGCAAGCGGCUAUCUGGACCGACAUCGACGCUGAGGCACGAAAGCGUGGGGAUCAAACAGG
This 253-nucleotide ribosomal RNA is filed under the name uncultured bacterium. RNAcentral's name for it is "partial 16S ribosomal RNA". It matches the Rfam family "Bacterial small subunit ribosomal RNA", at positions 524 to 776 of the family's 1533-position model. The record is from RNAcentral.